This is an RNA transcript of Sesamum indicum (sesame), 682 nucleotides long. It is a transcript of the gene named protein NONRESPONDING TO OXYLIPINS 2, mitochondrial, with no coding region annotated. Lineage: Eukaryota; Viridiplantae; Streptophyta; Magnoliopsida; Lamiales; Pedaliaceae. The record is from RefSeq and is a predicted model, not a curated record.
GCAGCUCCUAAUACCUCUUCAAAACCCUCGGUUCACUACUUCUGUGUCUGACCAACGCUCCAAUAAGACUAGCAAAGAAAUCCGCCAAUUCUUGUGCUACCGUUCGGCGAUAAUGGCGUCUCGUUACAGAGCAAUCUCAAGACCAGCAACCAACCUUCUCAAAACCACCUUUACGAAGCCAUCCAGCAGACCCGCCUUUACUGUUCAAUCAAUACACUCCUCAUCGACCCUUUUCUCAAGGCCAUUGCCUCAAAUGGUUGCCCUCCAGUCUCUAUUGCCACUCCACACUGCAGUGUCCUCGGCGAGGCUCACUUCUUGUCUAGGUGCAGACACCACGGGCUGCAGGUCUUUGUCUCAGGGUAUGCUCUGCAGUGCGAACCCUGGAGUUUGAUAGAUUUUGUAAUUUUUCUGGAUUUGCUGCCACCAGCCUACCACCUGAUUAGUUAGGCACCAUGUGUCUACAUCUGCGGCACUCAUGUAUUAAAACUAGGUCUCAGCGUACCUCGAUAAGAGAUGAAAUGCUAAAGCUCGAAGAACAAGCUUGAUUUGAUGGUCAUGGUUUCUUAUCACAUCAGUUUCCAUUUACAUUCUCCAGCAUCAAAAACUCUUGUCAAUUUUGUAUAAGCAAAUAUUCCUGGAUUUAACUUUGGGUUAUGCAUCUUCCAGUUGAACUUCUCUUCCA